GGGCCUGUAGCUCAAUUGGUUAGAGCCGGCGGCUCAUAACCGCUUGGUUGGGGGUUCGAGUCCCUCCGGGCCCACCA
This 77-nucleotide transfer RNA is filed under the name Brucella abortus. RNAcentral describes it as "tRNA-Ile2 (CAT) (tRNA-Ile2-CAT-1-1)". It matches the Rfam family "tRNA". From Rfam's summary of the family: Transfer RNA (tRNA) molecules are approximately 80 nucleotides in length. The record is from RNAcentral. RNAcentral also lists the same sequence under 513 other names. Lineage: Bacteria; Pseudomonadati; Pseudomonadota; Alphaproteobacteria; Hyphomicrobiales; Brucellaceae.